AACGAACGUUGGCGGCGUGGAUUAGGCAUGCAAGUCGAACGAAGACGGUUGGGUAGCAAUAUUUGACCGGACUGAGUGGCGAAAGGGGCAGUAAUGCGUGGGCAACCUACCUCCGGGAUGGGCAUAGCCGGCCCUAACGGACCGGGUAAUUCCCAGCGAUUUGGCGAGGCGGCAUCGUCUUGCCGAAGAAAUGGAUUCCCGCCUGGAGAGGGGCUCACGUCGUAUUAGCUAGUUGGCGGGGAACGGCCCACCAAGGCGAAGAUGCGUAGCGGGUGUGAGAGCACGACCCGCGCCACUGGCACUGAGACACUGGCCAGACACCUACGGGUGGCUGCAGUCGAGGAUCUUUGGCAAUGGGCGCAA
This 363-nucleotide ribosomal RNA is filed under the name uncultured bacterium. Its description in RNAcentral is "bacterial SSU rRNA". It matches the Rfam family "Bacterial small subunit ribosomal RNA", at positions 28 to 380 of the family's 1533-position model. The record is from RNAcentral.